RNAcentral lists this ribosomal RNA (433 nucleotides) under uncultured bacterium. RNAcentral describes it as "partial 16S ribosomal RNA". It matches the Rfam family "Bacterial small subunit ribosomal RNA", at positions 29 to 507 of the family's 1533-position model. The record is from RNAcentral.
AACGAACGCUGGCGGCAGGCCUAACACAUGCAAGUCGAGCGCGCCCUUCGGGGUGAGCGGCGGACGGGUGAGUAACGCGUGGGAACGUGCCCUUCUCUGCGGAAUAGCCUCGGGAAACUGAGAGUAAUACCGCAUACGCCCUGUGGGGGAAAGAUUUAUCGGAGAAGGAUCGGCCCGCGUUGGAUUAGGUAGUUGGUGGGGUAAUGGCCCACCAAGCCGACGAUCCAUAGCUGGUUUGAGAGGAUGAUCAGCCACACUGGGACUGAGACACGGCCCAGCCUCCUACGGGAGGCAGCAGUGGGGAAUCUUAGACAAUGGGGGCAACCCUGAUCUAGCCAUGCCGCGUGAGUGAUGAAGGCCUUAGGGUUGUAAAGCUCUUUCAGCUGGGAAGAUAAUGACGGUACCAGCAGAAGAAGCCCCGGCUAACUCCGUG